Molecule: ribosomal RNA, 171 nt
Filed under: Laccaria sp. AWW593
Lineage: Eukaryota; Fungi; Basidiomycota; Agaricomycetes; Agaricales; Hydnangiaceae
Also listed under: 1 other name
Description: 5.8S ribosomal RNA
Rfam family: 5.8S ribosomal RNA
About the family: 5.8S ribosomal RNA (5.8S rRNA) is a component of the large subunit of the eukaryotic ribosome. It is transcribed by RNA polymerase I as part of the 45S precursor that also contains 18S and 28S rRNA. Functionally, it is thought that 5.8S rRNA may be involved in ribosome translocation.
Source: RNAcentral
AUACAACUUUCAGCAAUGGAUCUCUUGGCUCUCGCAUCGAUGAAGAACGCAGCGAAAUGCGAUAAGUAAUGUGAAUUGCAGAAUUCAGUGAAUCAUCGAAUCUUUGAACGCACCUUGCGCUCCUUGGUAUUCCGAGGAGCAUGCCUGUUUGAGUGUCAUUAAAUUCUCAAC